Molecule: non-coding RNA, 95 nt
Organism: Octopus bimaculoides (California two-spot octopus)
Lineage: Eukaryota; Metazoa; Mollusca; Cephalopoda; Octopoda; Octopodidae
Source: Rfam
GCCUCGGUAGCGCAGUAGGCAGCGCGUCAGUCUCAUAAUCAGGUAAAAUCUUUAGAGGAAUCUGAAGGUCGUGAGUUCGAUCCUCACCUGGGGCA